Molecule: ribosomal RNA, 253 nt
Filed under: uncultured bacterium
Lineage: Bacteria
Description: partial 16S ribosomal RNA
Rfam family: Bacterial small subunit ribosomal RNA
Source: RNAcentral
GACGAACCGUGCGAACGUUGUUCGGAAUCACUGGGCUUAAAGGGCGCGUAGGCGGCUGAUCAAGUCCGGGGUGAAAGCCCCCAGCUUAACUGGGGAAGUGCCUUGGAAACUGAUGUGCUUGAGGGAGGUAGGGGUCGAGGGAACUUCUGGUGGAGCGGUGAAAUGCGUUGAUAUCAGAAGGAACGCCGGUGGCGAAAGCGCUCGACUGGACCUUUUCUGACGCUGAAGCGCGAAAGCUAGGGGAGCAAACGGG